This 533-nucleotide ribosomal RNA is filed under the name uncultured fungus. RNAcentral's name for it is "eukaryotic LSU rRNA". The stretch from base 169 to 322 matches the Rfam family "5.8S ribosomal RNA". The record is from RNAcentral. Lineage: Eukaryota; Fungi.
AAGUCAUAACAAGGUUUCCGUAGGUGAACCUGCGGAAGGAUCAUUAGUGAUUUGGCCGAGAGGCCUUUCAAUAAUCCUCACACCUGUGAACCCGUCGGUGGGCCUCGCCCGUCGGACACCCCUUUACAACACUAUGUGUAACGAACGUGAUGUAUCUUAAUGAAACAAAACUUUCAACAACGGAUCUCUUGGCUCUCGCAUCGAUGAAGAACGCAGCGAAAUGCGAUAAGUAAUGUGAAUUGCAGAAUUCAGUGAAUCAUCGAAUCUUUGAACGCACCUUGCGCCUCCUGGUAUUCCGAGAGGCAUGCCUGUUUGAGUGUCAUGAAACAUCAAUCCCCGAGGGUUUUUGGACCCACGGUGGAAUUGGACCUGGGUGUUUGCCUGUCGUGGGCUCGCCUCAAAUGACUCAGUGGGAACCUCCCGACCUGUGCCUGACGUGAUAAGUUUCGUCUCGGCCGGUCCCAAGGCCCGCUCACAACCCCAACCUUUUUGACAUUGACCUCAAAUCAGGUAGGGCUACCCGCUGAACUUAA